AACGAACGCUGGCGGCAGGCCUAACACAUGCAAGUCGAGCGAGCACACCGGGGUGAGCGGCGGACGGGGGAGUAAGGGGAGGGAACGUGCACUUGUCUACGGAAUAGCCUCGGGAAACGGAGAGUAAUAGCGUAUAGGCGCUAAGGGGGAAAGAUAUAUCGGAAAAGGAUCGGCCAGAGUUGGAUAAGGUAGUUGGUGUGGUAAUGGCCUCCCAAGCCGACGAUCCAUAGCUGGGUUGAGAGAAUGAUCAGCCACACUUGGACUGAGACACGGCCCGGACUCCUACGGGAGGCAGCAGUGGGUAAUCUUAGACCACGGGGGCAAUCCUGAUCUAGCCCUGCCGCGUGAGUUAUGAUGGCCUUAGGGUUGUAAAGCUCUUUCAGCUAGGAAGAUAUUGACGGUACCAGCAGAAGAAGCCCCGGCUAACUCCGUG
Molecule: ribosomal RNA, 433 nt
Filed under: uncultured bacterium
Lineage: Bacteria
Description: partial 16S ribosomal RNA
Rfam family: Bacterial small subunit ribosomal RNA
Source: RNAcentral